RNA transcript from Populus trichocarpa (black cottonwood), 1496 nucleotides. RefSeq lists it as uncharacterized. The record is from RefSeq and is a predicted model, not a curated record. The transcript has 6 exons. NCBI's taxonomy places the organism in Eukaryota, Viridiplantae, Streptophyta, Magnoliopsida, Malpighiales, Salicaceae.
AAGCAAAGCAAAAAAGGCCUCAUCCAUAUCAUAUGAUCUGGGCCAUCUCAUCUGUAAAAGUAAAACUCCUUCAUUCUCUACAGACUACAGGGUUGAUUAAUUAAUGUAAUGUUACUCCUCGAAUUCCAAAGCAGAUUAGUAUUUAUCGGAAAGUAGAAGAGCAAGUGAACUGGAUUGAAGUGAAGGGAAGGGGGAUGAAUGCGAAUACAACACUCACUCUAACCAACAUUACCACUAGCAUAAAAAACCCGUUAAUGUUAACGAUGAAGUUUUGUCCUUGUCCUUGCCCUUCCCCAACACCACCACCUCCGUCUCCCAUUUCUUCAAUCAGGUCUAGCUGCCGCCGCCGCCGCCGCCGAACAAGGUCCUUGCAACCCAGCAUGGUCAUACAAGACACAUCUACUACCGCCGCCUCCGCCGUGUCUGAUGCUGAUACUGAUACUGAUACUGAUACUGAUUCACUAUCUGUUUCCCGUCGCCUUAUUUUGCUUCGUCAUGCUAAGAGCUCCUGGGAUGACCGUUCACUUCGAGAUCAUGACCGGCCACUGAGUAAAAGCGGAGAGCUUGAUGCUGCCAAAGUCUCUCAAAAGCUCCAACAUUUGGGUUGGAUACCUCAACUUAUUUUGUCUAGUGAUGCAUUGCGAACCAAGGAAACACUUCAAAUAAUGCAGCAACAAGUACCAGACUUUUUGGAUGCAGAGGUUCAUUUCAUUUCAAGUUUCUAUUCUAUUGCAGCUAUGGAUGGUCAGACUGCCGACCAUCUUCAGCAAGCUAUCUGCAAUUACUCAAGGGAUGACAUUCUUACUGUCAUGUGCAUGGGGCAUAAUAAGGGGUGGGAGGAGGCUGCCUCUAUGUUCUCUGGUGCCUCCAUAGAGCUAAAUACAUGCAAUGCUGCUUUGCUUGAAGCUGCUGGGAAAUCCUGGGCAGAGGGUUCAAGAAAUUAGUAGUGAUCUAAUGAACUUAGAAAUGACUGGGGCGGGGCUGUAAAGUUUGAGGAUUGUUGCUUGCCAGUGCUAUAUAUGGUUCAAUUACAUAAGGCAUUUGCUUCCGCGGGACUUGGUGGGUGGAAGCUUCAGGACAUUGUAAAACCAAGUGAUAGCCCAAAACUUUGACAUCCAACCCUCCUCUCCAAAAAGAAACAAGAUCCUGCCUUUGGGUUCAUGAUGAUAAAAAAAUCUACUCCUUAUGGGCUGAACCAAAUAUGCCCUCCUCUUUUAAUUAUUCAUGAUCUUUGGUGCAGUUUGAGAAGACAAUAUCAUCCUCCGACCCAAGAAACCUUCUACAAUACCAUGGAAAGAUGGAAAGCAAUGACGUGUCACUGGAGAUGUGUAUGGAUAUACAAGAGAAACAUCUAGAGCAAUUAUUAGAAGAAAAAAAAUUUAAAGGAUUUCUGUUGAUCUGAUGUGUGUCCAUCUCUGUAUUGUAUAAUGUUGUUUUUGAAAUGACAAAUCAGAUGUCGACUGUAUUCAUAUAUAAUGCUAAUCUGAUUCUUACUA